Molecule: ribosomal RNA, 164 nt
Filed under: uncultured bacterium
Lineage: Bacteria
Description: partial 16S ribosomal RNA
Rfam family: Bacterial small subunit ribosomal RNA
Source: RNAcentral
UAGGGAAUCUUCCACAAUGGACGAAAGUCUGAUGGAGCAACGCCGCGUGAGUGAAGAAGGGUUUCGGCUCGUAAAACUCUGUUGUUAAAGAAGAACAUAUCUGAGAGUAACUGUUCAGGUAUUGACGGUAUUUAACCAGAAAGCCACGGCUAAAUACGUACCAG